RNAcentral lists this ribosomal RNA (459 nucleotides) under uncultured bacterium. RNAcentral describes it as "bacterial SSU rRNA". It matches the Rfam family "Bacterial small subunit ribosomal RNA", at positions 43 to 524 of the family's 1533-position model. The record is from RNAcentral.
CAGGCCUAACACAUGCAAGUCGAACGCAUCCUUCGGGGUGAGUGGCAGACGGGUGAGUAACACGUGGGAACGUACCCUUUGGUUCGGAAUAACCCUGGGAAACUAGGGCUAAUACCGGAUACGGCCGUGAGGCGAAAGGUUUACUGCCAAGGGAUCGGCCCGCGUCCGAUUAGCUAGUUGGUGUGGUAAUGGCGCACCAAGGCGACGAUCGGUAGCUGGUCUGAGAGGAUGGCCAGCCACAUUGGGACUGAGACACGGCCCAAACUCCUACGGGAGGCAGCAGUGGGGAAUAUUGGACAAUGGGCGCAAGCCUGAUCCAGCCAUGCCGCGUGAGUGAUGACGGCCUUAGGGUUGUAAAGCCCUUUCGGCCGGGAAGAAAUAGCUCAGGCUAAUAUCCUGAGUGUAGACGGUACCGGGGGAAGAAGCACCGGCUAACUCUGUGCCAGCAGCCGCGGUAAU